CAGUCGAGCGGACGGAAGGGAGCUUGCUCCCGGAUGUUAGCGGCGGACGGGUGUGUAACACAUGGGUAACCUGCCUGUAGGACUGGGAUAUCUCCGGGAAACCGGAGCUAAUACCGGAUAGUUCCUUGAACCGCAUGGGUCACGGAUGAAAGACGGUUUCCGCUGUCACUUACAUAUGGACCCCCGGCUCAUUAGCUAUUUGGUGAGGUAACGGCUCACCCAGGCGACGAUGCGUAGCCGACCUGAGAGGGUGAUCGGCCACACUGGGACUGAGACACGGCCCAAACUCCUACGGGAGGCAGCAGUAGGGAAUCUUCCGCACUGGACGAAAGUCUGACAGAGCAACACCGCGUGAGUGAUGAAGGUUUUCGGAUCGUAAAGCUCUGUUGUUAGGGAAGAACAAGUGCGAGAGUAACUGCUUGCACCUUGACGGUACCUAACCAGAAAGCCACGGCUAACUACGUGCCAGCAGCCGCGGUAAUACGUAUGUGGCAAGCGUU
This 500-nucleotide ribosomal RNA is filed under the name Bacillus pumilus. RNAcentral's name for it is "bacterial SSU rRNA". It matches the Rfam family "Bacterial small subunit ribosomal RNA", at positions 59 to 542 of the family's 1533-position model. Lineage: Bacteria; Bacillati; Bacillota; Bacilli; Caryophanales; Bacillaceae. The record is from RNAcentral.